RNAcentral lists this ribosomal RNA (256 nucleotides) under uncultured bacterium. RNAcentral describes it as "partial 16S ribosomal RNA". It matches the Rfam family "Bacterial small subunit ribosomal RNA", at positions 74 to 334 of the family's 1533-position model. The record is from RNAcentral.
CAAUAUAAGUGAUGGCGACCGGCGCACGGGUGAGUAACACGUAUCCAACCUGCCGAUAACUCGGGGAUAGCCUUUCGAAAGAAAGAUUAAUACCCGAUGGUAUAAUAAAACCGCAUGGUUUAAUUAUUAAAGAAUUCCGGUUAUCGAUGGGGAUGCGUUCCAUUAGGCAGUUGGUGAGGUAACGGCUCACCAAACCUUCGAUGGAUAGGGGUUCUGAGAGGAAGGUCCCCCACAUUGGAACUGAGACACGGUCCAA